Molecule: ribosomal RNA, 851 nt
Filed under: uncultured Clostridia bacterium
Lineage: Bacteria; Bacillati; Bacillota; Clostridia
Description: bacterial SSU rRNA
Rfam family: Bacterial small subunit ribosomal RNA
Source: RNAcentral
UGGCGGCGUGCAUAACACAUGCAAGUCGAACGAUGAAGCUUAGAUGAUUUCUUCGGAAUGAACUUAAGUGGAUUAGUGGCGAACGGGUGAGUAACACGUGAGUAACCUGCCUUACACAAGGGGAUAGCCUCUGGAAACGGAGAAUAAUACCCUAUAAAGUCUAAUCAGCCCAUGCUGGAAAGACCAAAGAUUUAUCGGUGUAAGAUGGACUUGCGUCUGAUUAGCUAGUUGGUGAGAUAAAAGCUCACCAAGGCGACGAUCAGUAGCCGGCUUGAGAGAGUGUACGGCCACAUUGGGACUGAGACACGGCCCAAACUCCUACGGGAGGCAGCAGUGGGGAAUUUUGCACAAUGGGGGAAACCCUGAUGCAGCGACGCCGCGUGAUUUAGAAGGCCUUCGGGUUGUAAAAAUCUUUUUUACGGGAUGAAAAUGACAGUACCGUAAGAAUAAGGUCCGGCUAAAUACGUGCCAGCAGCCGCGGUAAUACGUAUGGACCGAGCGUUGUCCGGAAUCAUUGGGCGUAAAGGGUACGUAGGCGGCCUAGUAAGUUAGAAGUUAAAGAAUAUAGCUCAACUAUAUAAAGCUUUUAAAACUGCUAGGCUUGAGAGAUGGAAGGGAAAGUGGAAUUCCUAGUGUAGCGGUGAAAUGCGCAGAUAUUAGGAAGAAUACCGGUGGCGAAGGCGACUUUCUGGUCAUCAUCUGACGCUGAGGUACGAAAGCGUGGGUAGCAAACAGGAUUAGAUACCCUGGUAGUCCACGCUGUAAACGAUGAGUGUUAGGUUCUUGGAAUAAUCUGGGAGCCGCAGCUAACGCAUUAAACACUCCGCCUGGGGAGUACGCACGCAAGUGUG